CAGGCAGGUCCCUGUUCCUGCUAUACGCCCUCAAGAGCUCCCCCAGGCUGAGUCUGCUCUACCUGUACCUGUUUGACUACACCGACACCUUCCUACCUUUCAUCCACACCAUCUGCCCUCUGCAAGAAGACAGCUCUGGGGAGGACAUCGUCACCAAGCUUCUGGAUCUUAAGGAGCCUACGUGGAAGCAGUGGAGAGAGUUCCUGGUCAAAUACUCCUUCCUUCCAUACCAGCUGAUUGCUGAGUUUGCUUGGGACUGGUUGGAGGUCCAUUACUGGACAUCACGGUUUCUCAUCAUCAAUGCUAUGUUACUCUCAGUUCUGGAAUUAUUCUCCUUUUGGAGAAUCUGGUCGAGAAGUGAACUGAAGACCGUGCCUCAGAGGAUGUGGAGCCAUUUCUGGAAAGUAUCAACGCAGGGGCUUUUUGUGGCCAUGUUCUGGCCCCUCAUCCCUCAGUUUGUUUGCAACUGUUUGUUUUACUGGGCCCUGUACUUUAACCCAAUUAUUAACAUUGAUCUUGUGGUCAAGGAACUCCGGCGGCUGGAAACCCAGGUGUUGUGACUGGCACUGCCCAGGCUGAGACUCUUCAAGUCCCGCUGACGUCUGAGCUUUGAUGCUUAAGAGGGGUGAGGCAGGGAGCGGACUUCCUAUUUUCUACCCUCAGUAAAACAAGGUGCUGCUUU
This 682-nucleotide long non-coding RNA is filed under the name Homo sapiens (human). RNAcentral describes it as "HSALNT0228044". The record is from RNAcentral. Lineage: Eukaryota; Metazoa; Chordata; Mammalia; Primates; Hominidae.